RNAcentral lists this ribosomal RNA (266 nucleotides) under Maoricolpus roseus. RNAcentral describes it as "partial 16S ribosomal RNA". The record is from RNAcentral. Lineage: Eukaryota; Metazoa; Mollusca; Gastropoda; Turritellidae.
AGACUUCUGCAUCUUUAGGAUAUUCUAGUCCAACAUCGAGGUCACAACCCCCCCUUUCGAUUUGGUCUCUCAAGGGAGAUUAUGCUGUUAUCCCUGCGGUAACUAGUUUUUUUAAUCAGCUUUGCUGGAUCAAAACGUAUAGGUUUUAAAUUAAUUUAUAAAGGAAGCUCUUUUUGUUCCUUGGUCGCCCCAACCAAAAAAGAUUAACAGUUAUAUAUUUGCUAUAAAACAUAAGUGUUUCUGUUUGUUUUUCAAGCUCGACAGGG